Molecule: RNA transcript, 1367 nt
Organism: Fragaria vesca subsp. vesca
Lineage: Eukaryota; Viridiplantae; Streptophyta; Magnoliopsida; Rosales; Rosaceae
Exons: 4
Source: RefSeq, a predicted model, not a curated record
UAGUGCUAUUUCUCACAGAAUAAGAAAGCAAAGAUCAUACAAGAAACAAAUCCAGGAUGCUUUUUCAUCAAAGAAGAGGUUGGUGAAGGAGUACGAACAGCUAGCGAUUUGGUUUGGAGAUGUUGGUUUAGAUUCCAGCCAAGAAGCAAACUCUUACAAGGACAAUUCGGGAACUCAUCAGGCAGGUGACUCUGAGUGGGAGCUUCUCUAAGCAAUAUAAUUUGUGUAUGUAAUUAAAUGAAAUUGGCGAUUGGACGGGUUACAAGGCUGCCAACCAAGAUUUGCAUGAACGUUUCGUGUGGGACGAGUAAUAUGCAUGAAUAGAGGAAUAGCUGGCCUUAGCGCUCUGGUGAAUUUGCCCAUCUCUGCUACAAGUGUGGAUAAGAAUUUCAGUCCCCUUUUUGUAGUUUCAAAGUUUUUAUUUUCUGCUGAAGUUUUGAUUUUUAAGGUGUUUUGGGUUUGAUAUAGUGUUGGGAGGGCAUUAUGGGAUGUGUUUUGGUUCUUAACGUUAGGUUUUAUGUGUUUUUUGAUUAAAGUUUUGAUCUUUACUUUUUGGGGGGGUUUUCGGGUUUGGACCAAUUGCAUUUGUUCAUGAGCUAGCUGCUGGUUUAAUGUCCAGGUAAGCUUCUGCUUUGGUUGAUUGGUCGAACUUUGGUGUGUGCAGUUCUUUUUUUUUCAGGGUUUCUUAUGCGUACCUAAAUUUAGCUCAGAGUCUGAUCAUGUAUUUGCAGGUGGGGUUUUUGGGAUUCAAGGAAGACUUGGAUAAGGAACAGGAGUCGAAUCUGGAGCUGUAGUCAUGCUUUGACUACUCUACAGAGGCUGGAAGAAGAGGAGAGGAGAGGCAGAAUGUAAGCAGCUGCAAAUGAGAUCUAACAAGAGCCAUUAAUGGAGUAUUAGAGCUCAGUUGCGUAAGGUAAGCUGCAACAUUGGAAUACUUGCUAGGGAGGUUAGAGCAGUAUGAGUAGGAUAUGGAGGAAUAUCAUCUAAAAAGAUUUUUGGACUUGCAUUUUGAGGUAAGAUUUCUUCUUCCAUCCUAUAGUGUUUUUGCAUUAUUGUUUUUGUUUCAUUGCAUUUAUGGGCUUCAAAAACUGUUCCGACCUUUCUCAUAUUGAUGCAUGUAUAUUGCAAAUGUAGCAUUGAAUCUACUGUACUUUAGGUAUAAAAUGCUUAGAAAUUUAUCCUAAGCCAAAAUCCAAAUGGAAAAUUUGAAAAUCAUGCGAUUUUGCUUUUCAAAUUCAAGUUUAAGAACUGAGAGUUAAUAUCCAGUUACAUCAUCGAAAAAAAAUCCAGUUCGUAAAAAAAGUUUGAGAUGCAAGGAACUGGUACGCUGUUGUGUUCCAUAUAUUCCAGUUUCAACAGUACCAAUA